CAACUCCCAAACCCAAUGUGAACGUUACCAAACUGUUGCCUCGGCGGGAUCUCUGCCCCGGGUGCGUCGCAGCCCCGGACCAAGGCGCCCGCCGGAGGACCAACCUAAAACUCUUAUUGUAUACCCCCUCGCGGGUUUUUUUAUAAUCUGAGCCUUCUCGGCGCCUCUCGUAGGCGUUUCGAAAAUGAAUCAAAACUUUCAACAACGGAUCUCUUGGUUCUGGCAUCGAUGAAGAACGCAGCGAAAUGCGAUAAGUAAUGUGAAUUGCAGAAUUCAGUGAAUCAUCGAAUCUUUGAACGCACAUUGCGCCCGCCAGUAUUCUGGCGGGCAUGCCUGUCCGAGCGUCAUUUCAACCCUCGAACCCCUCCGGGGGGUCGGCGUUGGGGAUCGGCCCUCCCUUAGCGGGUGGCCGUCUCCGAAAUACAGUGGCGGUCUCGCCGCAGCCUCUCCUGCGCAGUAGUUUGCACACUCGCAUCGGGAGCGCGGCGCGUCCACAGCCGUUAAACACCCAACUUCUGAAAUGUUGACCUCGGAUCAGGUAGGAAUACCCGCUGAACUUAAGCAU
This 565-nucleotide ribosomal RNA is filed under the name Trichoderma citrinoviride. RNAcentral describes it as "eukaryotic LSU rRNA". The stretch from base 194 to 347 matches the Rfam family "5.8S ribosomal RNA". The record is from RNAcentral. Lineage: Eukaryota; Fungi; Ascomycota; Sordariomycetes; Hypocreales; Hypocreaceae.